UGGAAAAGACAAAUUUUAUAGAAGUACCACUGUCCUCCUUGGACGGAGUGAGGAUCGAAAGCGUGAAUGAUUGGAAAGCCAGUAGACGGGGCCGGGUCUGUGCUAAGUGCGCACGGGAGAGCGUCACACAGCGAGGGCUAAGGGGCGACUGUUCGGCUUCUAAACUGACUCGGCUUGAACUGAAAGCCUGACUCACUGCCUGUCAACCCGAGACGUGCGUCUGCUUGACCAGUGAGUCCGGACUGCGCUCUCUUCACACGAGGAUGCAGCCGCCCCCUCCCGCGCCCUCUGGGGGAGGCCUGGUCCUCUCAGCAGGGUCCUGGUGACCUGCUGCUGCGCCUCUGAAGGCCUCUGUGACGUUCUGAUGGCAACGUAUCCUGGUGUGUUUGACGUGUGCUGCUUGUUCCGAAAGGAGACGAGACCGUUCUGACAGCCAUGCUCUCCGAACGCCUCACCCUCACUCUGGCUCCUGAUAAACUCACCCCAGUUUUCACUGAUAGGCUGGUUAUGGAUUAUUUGCGUAGACAUUUUGGGUCAAUGCCAGUCGUGAUCAUGCUAUAAUAAUGGUAAUUAUCAUUAUAGCAUUAUCACCAUCACCAUCACUUUGAAGCAGCUCUGCAAAACCCUUCACGUCUGUCCUGUCCUCCGAGAGAAACGGGGUCCUCUCAUCCUGAGCGACAGGGCUGCCUGGAGGCCCAGGGAGGAAGGUGCGAAGCCCCCAGGGGGCUCUGGGCAGGGGCCAGUCCCCACACCCCCACCGCGCCCACGCAGCCCCCGUGCUCUUAUUCAGAGCUGCCAGCGCUGGGCUCCUCUGCCCUGGGGCGGGAAGGGCAGGGGCAUCCCUUUAGGCUGCUGACUGGGAGGCCCAUGAAAGUGUAGGAAGGCCCGAGGGGUAGGGAGAGGACGUCUGGGUGGAAACUGAGUCAGGGCCAAGCAACAGAGCCUGCAGCUGUGACUUGCAGCCCGCCUCAGCCCUGACAGGUUCGAGGGCGAGACAGGGCUCCUCGGGAGGCGUGCAGGUGGGGGUGGGCUCCUGGGCCACCAGGCGGCAGGCUGAGGGUCUCCCGGAGCCGCUCCCUCUCUGCGGGCUGGGCCCCUCACUGGCCCGGGCAGAAGCAGGAGGAUUCGGUGGCGUUUGGAAGAUGAAGAACCCUUGAAAAACAGCCUGUGAGCGUCGAACAGAAUGGGUCUCUGUCGAUGUCGUUGGCAUAACAAGGCCAUCAUAACAAAUCAUCAGUCAUAGGAAGAAUCUGCCAGUGAGGAGGAGCAGAGGCCCG
This 1277-nucleotide long non-coding RNA is filed under the name Equus asinus (donkey). RNAcentral's name for it is "lncRNA (ENSEASG00005026763.1)". The record is from RNAcentral. Lineage: Eukaryota; Metazoa; Chordata; Mammalia; Perissodactyla; Equidae.